CAGUCGAGCGGACAGAUGGGAGCUUGCUCCCUGAUGUUAGCGGCGGACGGGUGAGUAACACGUGGGUAACCUGCCUGUAAGACUGGGAUAACUCCGGGAAACCGGGGCUAAUACCGGAUGCUUGUUUGAACCGCAUGGUUCAGACAUAAAAGGUGGCUUCGGCUACCACUUACAGAUGGACCCGCGGCGCAUUAGCUAGUUGGUGAGGUAACGGCUCACCAAGGCGACGAUGCGUAGCCGACCUGAGAGGGUGAUCGGCCACACUGGGACUGAGACACGGCCCAGACUCCUACGGGAGGCAGCAGUAGGGAAUCUUCCGCAAUGGACGAAAGUCUGACGGAGCAACGCCGCGUGAGUGAUGAAGGUUUUCGGAUCGUAAAGCUCUGUUGUUAGGGAAGAACAAGUGCCGUUCAAAUAGGGCGGCACCUUGACGGUACCUAACCAGAAAGCCACGGCUAACUACGUGCCAGCAGCCGCGGUAAUACGUAGGUGGCAAGCGUUGUCCGGAAUUAUUGGGCGUAAAGGGCUCGCAGGCGGUUUCUUAAGUCUGAUGUGAAAGCCCCCGGCUCAACCGGGGAGGGUCAUUGGAAACUGGGGAACUUGAGUGCAGAAGAGGAGAGUGGAAUUCCACGUGUAGCGGUGAAAUGCGUAGAGAUGUGGAGGAACACCAGUGGCGAAGGCGACUCUCUGGUCUGUAACUGACGCUGAGGAGCGAAAGCGUGGGGAGCGA
Molecule: ribosomal RNA, 730 nt
Filed under: Bacillus amyloliquefaciens
Lineage: Bacteria; Bacillati; Bacillota; Bacilli; Caryophanales; Bacillaceae
Description: bacterial SSU rRNA
Rfam family: Bacterial small subunit ribosomal RNA
Source: RNAcentral